ACGUAGGUGGCAAGCGUUGUUCGGAAUUAUUGGGCGUAAAGGGCGCGUAGGCGGCCUCUGCAAGUCGACUGUGAAAUCUCCGGGCUUAACCCGGAAAGGUCAGCCGAUACUGCAGGGCUAGAGUGCAGAAGGGGCAACUGGAAUUCUCGGUGUAGCGGUGAAAUGCGUAGAUAUCGAGAGGAACACCUGCGGCGAAGGCGGGUUGCUGGGCUGACACUGACGCUGAAGUGCGAAAGCUAGGGGAGCGAACGGGA
Molecule: ribosomal RNA, 254 nt
Filed under: uncultured prokaryote
Description: partial 16S ribosomal RNA
Rfam family: Bacterial small subunit ribosomal RNA
Source: RNAcentral